Marmota marmota marmota (Alpine marmot) is the source of this 134-nucleotide small nucleolar RNA. Lineage: Eukaryota; Metazoa; Chordata; Mammalia; Rodentia; Sciuridae. The record is from Ensembl.
CAGCAAGCCUGCAGCGUGCUCGGGUCUGCAGUGACCCUGCUGCAUUCCUACGGUGCUUGCCAGGACACUUUUGAAAUGGUUUGAGGCCUUGCCCUGCCCUCUCCAGAGCAAGUUUAUAGAAAUUCCAGACAAUU